RNAcentral lists this small RNA (146 nucleotides) under Candidatus Regiella insecticola 5.15. Its description in RNAcentral is "HgcC family RNA". Lineage: Bacteria; Pseudomonadati; Pseudomonadota; Gammaproteobacteria; Enterobacterales; Enterobacteriaceae. The record is from RNAcentral.
GAGCACGUUUUUGACGAAGUAUCAACGAGCACAAAAGAUUCCAUAGACUCUUAGGCCGCUCGAUGUAGCAGGAACCCACUGAGGCGUUGAACGCUGUAGGAAUCCUCGCCAUUUAGGGUGGGGAGGAUGUCAAAGAAAAAAUGGAC